Molecule: ribosomal RNA, 1504 nt
Filed under: Bacillus thuringiensis serovar graciosensis
Lineage: Bacteria; Bacillati; Bacillota; Bacilli; Caryophanales; Bacillaceae
Description: bacterial LSU rRNA
Rfam family: Bacterial large subunit ribosomal RNA
Source: RNAcentral
GUUUGGUUAAGUUAGAAAGGGCGCACGGUGGAUGCCUUGACACUAGGAGUCGAUGAAGGACGGGAUUAACGCCGAUAUGCUUCGGGGAGCUGUAAGUAAGCUUUGAUCCGAAGAUUUCCGAAUGGGGAAACCCACCAUACGUAAUGGUAUGGUAUCCUUANCUGAAUACAUAGGGUAAGGAAGACAGACCCAGGGAACUGAAACAUCUAAGUACCUGGAGGAAGAGAAAGCAAAUGCGAUUUCCUGAGUAGCGGCGAGCGAAACGGAACAUAGCCCAAACCAAGAGGCUUGCCUCUUGGGGUUGUAGGACAUUCUAUACGGAGUUACAAAGGAACGAGGUAGACGAAGCGACCUGGAAAGGUCCGUCGUAGAGGGUAACAACCCCGUAGUCGAAACUUCGUUCUCUCUUGAAUGUAUCCUGAGUACGGCGGAACACGUGAAAUUCCGUCGGAAUCUGGGAGGACCAUCUCCCAAGGCUAAAUACUCCCUAGUGAUCGAUAGUGAACCAGUACCGUGAGGGAAAGGUGAAAAGCACCCCGGAAGGGGAGUGAAAGAGAUCCUGAAACCGUGUGCCUACAAAUAGUCAGAGCCCGUUAACGGGUGAUGGCGUGCCUUUUGUAGAAUGAACCGGCGAGUUACGAUCCCGUGCGAGGUUAAGCUGAAGAGGCGGAGCCGCAGCGAAAGCGAGUCUGAAUAGGGCGUUUAGUACGUGGUCGUAGACCCGAAACCAGGUGAUCUACCCAUGUCCAGGGUGAAGUUCAGGUAACACUGAAUGGAGGCCCGAACCCACGCACGUUGAAAAGUGCGGGGAUGAGGUGUGGGUAGCGGAGAAAUUCCAAUCGAACCUGGAGAUAGCUGGUUCUCCCCGAAAUAGCUUUAGGGCUAGCCUUAAGUGUAAGAGUCUUGGAGGUAGAGCACUGAUUGGACUAGGGGUCCUCAUCGGAUUACCGAAUUCAGUCAAACUCCGAAUGCCAAUGACUUAUCCUUAGGAGUCAGACUGCGAGUGAUAAGAUCCGUAGUCAAAAGGGAAACAGCCCAGACCGCCAGCUAAGGUCCCAAAGUGUGUAUUAAGUGGAAAAGGAUGUGGAGUUGCUUAGACAACUAGGAUGUUGGCUUAGAAGCAGCCACCAUUUAAAGAGUGCGUAAUAGCUCACUAGUCGAGUGACUCUGCGCCGAAAAUGUACCGGGGCUAAAUACACCACCGAAGCUGCGGAUUGAUACCAAUGGUAUCAGUGGUAGGGGAGCGUUCUAAGGACAGUGAAGUCAGACCGGAAGGACUGGUGGAGUGCUUAGAAGUGAGAAUGCCGGUAUGAGUAGCGAAAGACGGGUGAGAAUCCCGUCCACCGAAUGCCUAAGGUUUCCUGAGGAAGGCUCGUCCGCUCAGGGUUAGUCAGGACCUAAGCCGAGGCCGACAGGCGUAGGCGAUGGACAACAGGUUGAUAUUCCUGUACCACCUCUUUAUCGUUUGAGCAAUGGAGGGACGCAGAAGGAUAGAAGAAGCGUG